RNAcentral lists this ribosomal RNA (500 nucleotides) under uncultured microorganism. Its description in RNAcentral is "bacterial SSU rRNA". It matches the Rfam family "Archaeal small subunit ribosomal RNA", at positions 234 to 734 of the family's 1478-position model. The record is from RNAcentral.
AGUGGGUGUAACGUACCUACUAGCCUACGACGGGUACGGGUUGUGAGAGCAAGAGCCCGGAGAUGGAUUCUGAGACACGAAUCCAGGCCCUACGGGGUGCAGCAGGCGCGAAAACUUUACAAUGCGGGAAACCGUGAUAAGGGAAUCUCGAGUGCCAGCAUAUAAUGUUGGCUGUCCAGAUGCCUAAAAAGCAUCUGUUAGCAAGGGCCGGGCAAGACCGGUGCCAGCCGCCGCGGUAACACCGGCGGCCCGAGUGGUAACCGUUUUUAUUGGGUCCAAAGGGUCUGUAGCCGGCCAUGUAAGUCCCUUGGGAAAUCUGGCAGCUCAACUGUCAGGCUGCUAGGGGAUACUGCUUGGCUUGGGACCGGGAGAGGUGAGAGGUACCUUGAGGGUAGGGGUGAAAUCUUGUGAUCCUCGGGGGACCACCAGUGGCGAAGGCGUCUCACCAGAACGGGUCCGACGGUAAGGGACGAAAGCUAGGGGCACGAACCGGAUUAGAU